AACGAACGCUGGCGGCAGGCUUAACACAUGCAAGUCGAACGCCCCGCAAGGGGAGUGGCAGACGGGUGAGUAACGCGUGGGAACAUACCCUUUUCUACGGAAUAGCUCUGGGAAACUGGAAUUAAUACCGUAUACGCCCUACGGGGGAAAGAUUUAUCGGGGAAGGAUUGGCCCGCGUUGGAUUAGCUAGUUGGUGGGGUAAAGGCCUACCAAGGCGUCGAUCCAUAGCUGGUCUGAGAGGAUGAUCAGCCACAUUGGGACUGAGACACGGCCCAAACUCCUACGGGAGGCAGCAGUGGGGAAUAUUGGACAAUGGGCGCAAGCCUGAUCCAGCCAUGCCGCGUGAGUGAUGAAGGCCUUAGGGUUGUAAAGCUCUUUCACCGAUGAAGAUAAUGACGGUAGUCGGAGAAGAAGCCCCGGCUAACUUCGUG
RNAcentral lists this ribosomal RNA (431 nucleotides) under uncultured bacterium. RNAcentral's name for it is "partial 16S ribosomal RNA". It matches the Rfam family "Bacterial small subunit ribosomal RNA", at positions 29 to 507 of the family's 1533-position model. The record is from RNAcentral.